GAAGACAAUAUCCUUUGUAGUAAUCGGUCCGUUACAGAUGGAUGGACCCAAAUGGACCGGCGUAACUUCUGUCGCCUACGCUCUGCGCCUUAUUGUUUAGAGAAAACGUUGACAUGAGGAAAUUCGUCAGAGGAAGAUACCGCAUUUAGGACGAACGGAACAUAAAUCCCCGACAGAAGCUAUUCUUGGACGCUAAGGAAUAAAUGAUGAACAUCAUCAUAUUAACUAUCAUCGAUUUCCUCUUCCUUGUCUUCUGCAAUCCAUCCAACUAUGAAGCAAUCCAAAACAUUACAAGCUGAUCCUGAGGUUCUGCCAGAAUACACUUACUACUUAGAGGAAUAGAAGGAGUUUACUUAUUGUCAGACCUUUAAAUCGUUACACAAAUCGGUCUAGCCAUUUUGGAGGACUCUGUUAAAGGACACCGUGACUGAAUUUUAUUUUUGUUUAUGUAAAUAAGAUAUGGACAUAUAAGAGACCUUUGUCUUGUUAAUCGCUUGGUCUAUGGAGAGUUAUUAAUUCGUUUAUGAGUAGUU
This is a long non-coding RNA of Zerene cesonia (dogface butterfly), 533 nucleotides long. RefSeq lists it as uncharacterized. The record is from RefSeq and is a predicted model, not a curated record. The transcript has 3 exons. Lineage: Eukaryota; Metazoa; Arthropoda; Insecta; Lepidoptera; Pieridae.